CCAACGGCUCUUUUAAGAGCCACCCAAGAAUUCUCAAAAAGAGCUG
Molecule: non-coding RNA, 46 nt
Organism: Colinus virginianus (northern bobwhite)
Lineage: Eukaryota; Metazoa; Chordata; Aves; Galliformes; Odontophoridae
Source: Rfam